CUUAUCGAGAGCGGUGGAGGGAACGGCCCUGUGAAACCCGGCAACCUGUCAGACUGAUGUGGUGCUAAAUCCGGCGGCAACGAAAGAUGAG
RNAcentral lists this non-coding RNA (91 nucleotides) under human gut metagenome. RNAcentral's name for it is "SAM riboswitch (S box leader)". It matches the Rfam family "SAM riboswitch aptamer (S box leader)". From Rfam's summary of the family: The SAM riboswitch is found upstream of a number of genes which code for proteins involved in methionine or cysteine biosynthesis in Gram-positive bacteria. The SAM riboswitch acts at the level of transcription termination control. The predicted structure consists of a complex stem-loop region followed by a single stem loop terminator region. RNAcentral also lists the same sequence under 1 other name. The record is from RNAcentral.